This 557-nucleotide long non-coding RNA is filed under the name Homo sapiens (human). RNAcentral's name for it is "HSALNT0378141". Lineage: Eukaryota; Metazoa; Chordata; Mammalia; Primates; Hominidae. The record is from RNAcentral.
GCUCCAAGCAGGAACACCUGGGACAAAGCGCCCCAUGGGGAACCUCUCAGAUAAGCUACUUGAUUUCUUAAUCCUUCUGUCCUUCGGUCAAAUCAGCUGGAAAGCAGGAAUAGGGAAAGGGGUGGGAAAAACCUCCUGAGGAAUCAGAGGCUGAGUCUGAGCCAGAUGCAACUUCUAUUUUGAUUGAGAGAUGAAAAGUCAUCAUUUUAAUUCAGGUCAAAUAAGCAUUCCUGAAAGAAGCCAAGAGGAAGGCACAUUUUCAACAUGACAUAAAAAAAGGGCUGAUAUAACAAAGAAAUUAAAGAAUAUCAAAGCCAACACAGUAAAAAGCAAUGGCAUCCUCAACAAGAAAGGGAAUGUGAAACUGAAUACAGGUACCAGGAAUCAGAAGAGUGCCAGGAAGAGAAUGAUCUUUGUUCUGCAGUAGCAGAGUUGCCUCCUGAGGAGCUGGAGAAAGCAGGCUUGCUUGUGUCACUAAAAGAAGCAAUGUUGACUCAAGGAGAAAUACACAAUGCCAUGAAUUAUAAGGACUGGUGACAGAAAAUGAGUUAGGUUCU